Molecule: small nucleolar RNA, 94 nt
Filed under: Amborella trichopoda
Lineage: Eukaryota; Viridiplantae; Streptophyta; Magnoliopsida; Amborellales; Amborellaceae
Description: snoRNA snoZ43
Rfam family: Small nucleolar RNA Z43
About the family: Z43 is a member of the C/D class of snoRNA which contain the C (UGAUGA) and D (CUGA) box motifs. Most of the members of the box C/D family function in directing site-specific 2'-O-methylation of substrate RNAs.
Source: Rfam by way of RNAcentral
GGACGAUGAUGAUCCAAAAGAAAGGUCUCGUUCGUCGUAAUGGCGAUCCGCCUUGCCGACCAAUCUGAUAUACCACUACCCAUAUUCUGAGUCC